CCUCAGGAAUGGUGUGGAAGAAAAAGACAGGAUAUCCCCAAAACACCUGGAUUGACUUUUUGAGAAAGUAUUUUGGUGGAAUGUUUGCUAAAGGCAGUGCUGGAGUCCAACCAGAACAAGGCAAGUAAUCCAGUUAAUUUAAGACUGUAGAAAGCUGAAGUAACUUCUUUA
Long non-coding RNA from Salvelinus namaycush (lake trout), 171 nucleotides. RefSeq lists it as uncharacterized. The transcript has 3 exons. The record is from RefSeq and is a predicted model, not a curated record. NCBI's taxonomy places the organism in Eukaryota, Metazoa, Chordata, Actinopteri, Salmoniformes, Salmonidae.